This 309-nucleotide ribosomal RNA is filed under the name uncultured bacterium. Its description in RNAcentral is "bacterial SSU rRNA". It matches the Rfam family "Bacterial small subunit ribosomal RNA", at positions 504 to 812 of the family's 1533-position model. The record is from RNAcentral.
CGUGCCAGCAGCCGCGGUAAUACGAAGGGGGCUAGCGUUGCUCGGAAUUACUGGGCGUAAAGGGCGCGUAGGCGGACAGUUAAGUUGGGGGUGAAAGCCCGGGGCUCAACCUCGGAAAUGCCUUCAAUACUGGCUGUCUUGAGUACGGGAGAGGUGAGUGGAACUCCGAGUGUAGAGGUGAAAUUCGUAGAUAUUCGGAAGAACACCAGUGGCGAAGGCGACUCACUGGCCCGUUACUGACGCUGAGGCGCGAAAGCGUGGGGAGCAAACAGGAUUAGAUACCCUGGUAGUCCACGCCGUAAACGAUGA